RNAcentral lists this ribosomal RNA (2527 nucleotides) under Staphylococcus aureus. RNAcentral's name for it is "partial 23S ribosomal RNA". It matches the Rfam family "Bacterial large subunit ribosomal RNA", at positions 388 to 2925 of the family's 2925-position model. Lineage: Bacteria; Bacillati; Bacillota; Bacilli; Caryophanales; Staphylococcaceae. The record is from RNAcentral.
UUGUCUCUCUUGAGUGGAUCCUGAGUACGACGGAGCACGUGAAAUUCCGUCGGAAUCUGGGAGGACCAUCUCCUAAGGCUAAAUACUCUCUAGUGACCGAUAGUGAACCAGUACCGUGAGGGAAAGGUGAAAAGCACCCCGGAAGGGGAGUGAAAUAGAACCUGAAACCGUGUGCUUACAAGUAGUCAGAGCCCGUUAAUGGGUGAUGGCGUGCCUUUUGUAGAAUGAACCGGCGAGUUACGAUUUGAUGCAAGGUUAAGCAGUAAAUGUGGAGCCGUAGCGAAAGCGAGUCUGAAUAGGGCGUUUAGUAUUUGGUCGUAGACCCGAAACCAGGUGAUCUACCCUUGGUCAGGUUGAAGUUCAGGUAACACUGAAUGGAGGACCGAACCGACUUACGUUGAAAAGUGAGCGGAUGAACUGAGGGUAGCGGAGAAAUUCCAAUCGAACCUGGAGAUAGCUGGUUCUCUCCGAAAUAGCUUUAGGGCUAGCCUCAAGUGAUGAUUAUUGGAGGUAGAGCACUGUUUGGACGAGGGGCCCCUCUCGGGUUACCGAAUUCAGACAAACUCCGAAUGCCAAUUAAUUUAACUUGGGAGUCAGAACAUGGGUGAUAAGGUCCGUGUUCGAAAGGGAAACAGCCCAGACCACCAGCUAAGGUCCCAAAAUAUAUGUUAAGUGGAAAAGGAUGUGGCGUUGCCCAGACAACUAGGAUGUUGGCUUAGAAGCAGCCAUCAUUUAAAGAGUGCGUAAUAGCUCACUAGUCGAGUGACACUGCGCCGAAAAUGUACCGGGGCUAAACAUAUUACCGAAGCUGUGGAUUGUCCUUUGGACAAUGGUAGGAGAGCGUUCUAAGGGCGUUGAAGCAUGAUCGUAAGGACAUGUGGAGCGCUUAGAAGUGAGAAUGCCGGUGUGAGUAGCGAAAGACGGGUGAGAAUCCCGUCCACCGAUUGACUAAGGUUUCCAGAGGAAGGCUCGUCCGCUCUGGGUUAGUCGGGUCCUAAGCUGAGGCCGACAGGCGUAGGCGAUGGAUAACAGGUUGAUAUUCCUGUACCACCUAUAAUCGUUUUAAUCGAUGGGGGGACGCAGUAGGAUAGGCGAAGCGUGCGAUUGGAUUGCACGUCUAAGCAGUAAGGCUGAGUAUUAGGCAAAUCCGGUACUCGUUAAGGCUGAGCUGUGAUGGGGAGAAGACAUUGUGUCUUCGAGUCGUUGAUUUCACACUGCCGAGAAAAGCCUCUAGAUAGAAAAUAGGUGCCCGUACCGCAAACCGACACAGGUAGUCAAGAUGAGAAUUCUAAGGUGAGCGAGCGAACUCUCGUUAAGGAACUCGGCAAAAUGACCCCGUAACUUCGGGAGAAGGGGUGCUCUUUAGGGUUAACGCCCAGAAGAGCCGCAGUGAAUAGGCCCAAGCGACUGUUUAUCAAAAACACAGGUCUCUGCUAAACCGUAAGGUGAUGUAUAGGGGCUGACGCCUGCCCGGUGCUGGAAGGUUAAGAGGAGUGGUUAGCUUCUGCGAAGCUACGAAUCGAAGCCCCAGUAAACGGCGGCCGUAACUAUAACGGUCCUAAGGUAGCGAAAUUCCUUGUCGGGUAAGUUCCGACCCGCACGAAAGGCGUAACGAUUUGGGCACUGUCUCAACGAGAGACUCGGUGAAAUCAUAGUACCUGUGAAGAUGCAGGUUACCCGCGACAGGACGGAAAGACCCCGUGGAGCUUUACUGUAGCCUGAUAUUGAAAUUCGGCACAGCUUGUACAGGAUAGGUAGGAGCCUUUGAAACGUGAGCGCUAGCUUACGUGGAGGCGCUGGUGGGAUACUACCCUAGCUGUGUUGGCUUUCUAACCCGCACCACUUAUCGUGGUGGGAGACAGUGUCAGGCGGGCAGUUUGACUGGGGCGGUCGCCUCCUAAAAGGUAACGGAGGCGCUCAAAGGUUCCCUCAGAAUGGUUGGAAAUCAUUCAUAGAGUGUAAAGGCAUAAGGGAGCUUGACUGCGAGACCUACAAGUCGAGCAGGGUCGAAAGACGGACUUAGUGAUCCGGUGGUUCCGCAUGGAAGGGCCAUCGCUCAACGGAUAAAAGCUACCCCGGGGAUAACAGGCUUAUCUCCCCCAAGAGUUCACAUCGACGGGGAGGUUUGGCACCUCGAUGUCGGCUCAUCGCAUCCUGGGGCUGUAGUCGGUCCCAAGGGUUGGGCUGUUCGCCCAUUAAAGCGGUACGCGAGCUGGGUUCAGAACGUCGUGAGACAGUUCGGUCCCUAUCCGUCGUGGGCGUAGGAAAUUUGAGAGGAGCUGUCCUUAGUACGAGAGGACCGGGAUGGACAUACCUCUGGUGUACCAGUUGUCGUGCCAACGGCAUAGCUGGGUAGCUAUGUGUGGACGGGAUAAGUGCUGAAAGCAUCUAAGCAUGAAGCCCCCCUCAAGAUGAGAUUUCCCAACUUCGGUUAUAAGAUCCCUCAAAGAUGAUGAGGUUAAUAGGUUCGAGGUGGAAGCAUGGUGACAUGUGGAGCUGACGAAUACUAAUCGAUCGAAGACUUAAU